This 83-nucleotide small nucleolar RNA is filed under the name Microcebus murinus (gray mouse lemur). RNAcentral's name for it is "Small nucleolar RNA SNORA13 (ENSMICG00000024921.3)". It matches the Rfam family "Small nucleolar RNA SNORA13". Rfam says of the family: ACA13 is a member of the H/ACA class of snoRNA that guide the sites of modification of uridines to pseudouridines. Lineage: Eukaryota; Metazoa; Chordata; Mammalia; Primates; Cheirogaleidae. The record is from Rfam by way of RNAcentral.
AGGUCCUUAAAUUAAAUGCUUUGCAGCCUUUUCCUGCCCUUAAAUUUGGUAUCUUUGGUGUAGGAGCUGCAUAAGAAAUAGUU